This 941-nucleotide long non-coding RNA is filed under the name Panax ginseng (ginseng). RNAcentral's name for it is "long non-coding RNA (PGIN_LNC017838)". The record is from RNAcentral. Lineage: Eukaryota; Viridiplantae; Streptophyta; Magnoliopsida; Apiales; Araliaceae.
AUAAAGAAAAUCAAGUAAAUUAGUAAUUAAGAAAUGGCUGUGUCUUCGCCAUGCAAGCGUUUCCUUCUAGUGGCUCUUUUCUUGGUUUGCUUCAUGAACACCGCCAACUCUGCUACCGGUAUAUACGUUUAAAUAUUUUCUAAAAUUAAUUUUUUAUUUCACGUUUUAAUUUUGAAUUUUGAUACAUAUAUAUAAUCUAAUCUAUUUUAUUUUAUGGUUUUUGCAGCACGGAGUUUGGUUAUGGAAAUGAAUCGCGCUGAAUCGCCUGACCAGAAAUAUACAGUUGCCAAAGAAGAUGGACCGGUGGAGGAUGAAGACUUUGUUAGUGACUAUACUCCGGCACGAAAGAAGAGUCCGAUUCAUAACUAAAAUUCAUGGGAGAAUAUAUAUAUAUAUAUAUAUAUAUAUUCCGAUUCGAACAAAUGAACAUAUAUGGGCUAUGACGACAGUUCGUACUAUCGACUAUCGUCACCGACAGAUUUUGGCUAUGGUAACGGUAUAGACCGUCGUCAUAUCUCAUGUUCGUUUGUUCGUGUUUUUUGAAAAACCGGAAUAUAUAUAUAUAUAUAUUGGUUCUCUCAAGUAAAUUGGAGGGAGCGAACCGGCUGUAACGACGAUUUUUUCUGACGCUAUAACAUAAAAAAUCGGCUUAAUUUCUAUGCUAUAGCAACAGAAAAAAUCGUCGUUAUAACCGGUUCGUUCUUAGUUUGCUCGUUCCAGUUCGCUGGAGAAGCGGACUAAUAUAUAUAUAUAUGUCAAUGAUCCAAGUGUUUUGUGUAAUUUAAUAUUUUUCAAAUAAAACUCAUGCAUGAUGGUAAAUUCCAUUGGCAUACAGAAUCCUUUAGUUUUUGAUAAUUAUAAUGAAAGAAUUCAGCAAGUAAUUAAAUAUGUCAGCGUACGGAUUUUUUUGCCAUUUAUUCUUUUGUUUUUCUGUUCUUAUG